RNAcentral lists this long non-coding RNA (6568 nucleotides) under Vitis vinifera (wine grape). Its description in RNAcentral is "long non-coding RNA (VVIN_LNC003747)". The record is from RNAcentral. Lineage: Eukaryota; Viridiplantae; Streptophyta; Magnoliopsida; Vitales; Vitaceae.
UCAAGUCCCUAUGAAUAAUCUUCAAUCUUGAAUCUUGGUGAAGAUACAGCAGCCCUCUAGCAAUUCCCAUAAUGAUGUCAAACCGCUUCUCCCAGUUCAGUAACAUGCAUAGGGUUCGAUCUUGCAAGGUUCCCAUUGGAAAGCAUUACUUCAGAUAUGUAUACAAGAAUGUAUAUGUUACAUGAAAAAGAAAAGGGCUUUAAGGCAGGUUUAGAGACAAACCAAAUAUGAAGGAAUCUAAGCUUUUGUUGGCCAUAUAUUCAUAGAGUAAAAUCUUCUCAUCACCUUCAACACAAUAGCCCAAAAGUCUAACCAGAUUCCGAUGCUGAAGUUUGGCAAUUAAAACAACCUCAUUCUUAAAUUCCUGUAGGCCUUGUCCUGAAGCUCUAGAGAGUCUCUUAACUGCAAUUUCUUGCCCCUCUGGAAACUUGCCCUGGAAGCCACAGUGCAUAUGCAUUGGGCAUAUGUUAGAACUUGGUGACUUGAAUUCUAUUUGGUUCGACUCCAGAAGCUCGCGAUGUGAUAUAGGUAGUAAAGCUAAAAUUAUGAAUUUUUUUUUGGGUUUGUGGUAGUAACAGAGGGAUCGGACCUAUUACUCUUUCAUGUAUAUACAUACAUAUAUAUACAUACAUAUAUAUAUAUAUAUAUAUAUAUAUAUAUAUAUAUAUAUAUAUAUAUGUAUGCAUGCGAUGAUGUAUAGUUUUCAGGGUUAUGAUGAUUAUGUUUUUGCUAUAGGGGUCCGUAUCUCUUUCCUCUUGUACUAAUUUUUGAUAUAAUAAAAUUUCUUCUCCUCGUGGUCUUUCCUAUCUAGGGUUUUCCAUACAAAUUUAUGUGUUCUUAUCCUGUUUUAUUUCUUAUUGCAUAUUCUCAUUAUUUUGUAACAGCAUAGAUGAUGAUAAACUAGUUGAAAAUGAGAGGAACAUGGAAAUUAAGAACAAUUACCUUGUAAACUGGCCCAAAACCCCCUUGUCCAAGCUUAUUUGCAUCUGAAAAGUUAUUUGUAGCAGCCAGUAUGUCUUCUAAGUCGAAAAACGGUACAUCAAUGCCUUUCUUAUCCUCUUCUUUGAAUUGCUCCGAGUCUAUUGAGUGUUUCACACGACUCUCACUAUCAUAUAAGUGAAGCACUUGAUUUGCUCUGUUCUCUGAACUCAAAAAAAACAGAAAAUAUUGUAUACAAGACCCUGAAAUAUUCUCAAUUCAGCCAAGCACAAGUCGAAAAGAAAAGACCAGAAGUUAUAGGCUAGUGCAUAUGGCACAAAGAUUACCUUUCCUUUUGGUGAUGGUUCUUUUGCGCAAAUAAGCAAUAUAACCAAUGAUGCCUAAAACCGCAACUAGAACAACAGCAAUUGUUAUGCCUACCACAACCACUGGAGAUGACCACGAUGACUUCUGAUCAGCAGGUUUGACACCUGAAACAAAGAAGGAACUGAAUUGAACUUCUCUCACCUACCCAGAAGGCAAAUUUAGUAAGAUACUUGGUGAACAGAAUCCUCACCUUGUGUACAAUUUAAACUUGAGCUAUUCCAUUUGAAGUUUUCAUUGCAAAAGCACCUACUCAUUCCAUCUCGCGUUCCGCAGAUUGAAUUUGGCCAGUCUUUGCAAUCUGCUGAUGAGGUACACGCCGGCUCCGAUGGUGGAUCCCAACUGAUCUCUACUUCAAUACUAUUUUUCAAUGACAUCUCAGAGCCAAAAUGGUCAGUUCCAACCUCUUUGCACGCAUCAGUUAUGCGAAAAGGUGGGUCUAGUGGCGGAAUUAAACUUCGAGAACUGCAAUCUGCUUCUUUCAGUUGGAUUACAAAUCUUAAUGUCUCUGGGUUAAUGCUAGUUACUCGGUAGGCACCACCAGGUACCUUGAACUGAACCUGGCCUGUGGUACUGUUACACUCAAAAUUGAAGUACAUGGGAUCACCACACUUUGAUCCAGUGCUUAGAGGAUAAGGAAUCAUGCUUGAACCACAAGUUUCACAAUUCCUUACUGUUGGUUCUGCAAAGACAGUAGAAUACCAUGUGGGCAUUUCAGUUACAAAUGGAUUAAUGCUUGUUUUUUCAAAGAAAAAAUAAAAUAAAAAUUGAAAGGGACAUACUUAUAUCUGAAAUGGCCACACGAACGGAGAGGUUGUGGGCAUCAAAGGCAUACUCCUCCUGAAGAUCAGUAAGGUCUUCCGUCCAAAUCAAGCAUUUUAGGGCAUCAGUAUCACCUCUUUCUUGUUUGAUAUAAGUUUCAGCAUAAGCUUGACAUUGGCAUUUUUCAAGGCAAGCCUUUCUGCAAGGAUCACUAUCAUUUGGAUCUGCGUCAAUCUGAGAGUCUGGCUUUCUCACUUUCAUCAUCUUUAAGCUCAGGAACAUGUCUUUACUAGAAUUCUCCUCGCAUAUGGGAGACUUUCUGGUACACCCACUUGAAAAGUCUUCAGUUUUCCACUUAUCCGGCGAGGCGGGUUUGAACCCAGGUAAACAUUUGCACAUCAAAGGAUUUUUAGUGUUACAACUACCGAAUUUCCCACAAGCUUUUGACACACUGCAUCGAUCUCGAGGUGCCCACCAGUCUGGAGAUGAUGUAUUCGGAUUCAGAUAGUACUGGAUUUCCCCUGAAGAAUUCAUCACCAACCGCGUGGUAUUCUUAUACCUGCGGGACAGUAUUUCAAGGGUUCCAUUGAAGAAUUUUAUAUAGCUGGUUGGCUUACCAUUCUUGCUGAGGUUGGAUAACAAGCUGAGUAUUGCAUCUGGAAUUUCAUCAGGCGUUCCUUUCGAGUCCUCACUGCUCCAAUAUGGGACAAUUGAACUUUCCCAUAUGUUAUAAUGAUCCUUAUUGUCUUGAUCUAUCUUGAAAGUAUAGUUUCCAGGUGCCGGGUCAACAGAACUCAGCCAUGAAGUCAAUGUUAAGGUUUCAUCCAUCUUCAUCCCCGGAAGAAAAGUAUCUGUAGGAUUAUGGAAGCUCUCCCAAAGAAUCUUCCCCGAUCUGUUGUAGCUCAAAACAAGGUUCCCAGAGUCCAUGAGCUUCACCACCCUCCCUGUAGAUAAAGAUGUUUCAAUAUCAGAAUGCCAGUGAACUGUCCCAUUUGCAUCCAAUACCUUGAGCUGACCAUCUUCUUUAAUGGCAAAAACUCCAGAGGGGGUGUCAGAAAGGGGAAGGGGGUUCUUUCGGUUGGCCACCCAUACAACUCUUUGUGGUUUCGACCUGUAAUACCAUAUGCCCACGAAUCUUCCAAUCUUGGAGCUUCCACCUGGAUUAAAGAAGCCAAGUUCAAAAGUUUUGCCUGCAGAAACAACAGUUUCUCCAUCAUUACUAAGCCAGUCCUCCGGUGUGAUGGUAUCUCUAGCAGAGCAAUACAGGACAGAACACAAGACGAAAAAGAUGGUAGAUAGCAUGUGAGUUGCAGAGACAGGAACCAUGAAUUUUCUUCCUUAUCAUUUUGCCUCUUUUUAGAGCUGUGUCCUCAAAUCUAUAGUUUUUAGUGGAGACUUUUCCUCUUGACCCUGAGUGGAGUAAAGUCACAUCAAUACUGUCUGUCAUCUUUGUCUUCCUCCCGCAAACUAAAUAACGGUUGUCCUUUUGUACCCACUAUUUAUUUUGGACCUACCUACCCUCAUUUCACUCCAGUAAUAAAAUGAAAUGUGUGAAUUGCAUGUCAUUAAAUAAAAACAAAAACACGUAUCUAAUCGGUAUUAUACUGAUUCAGUACUGUAGAAUUUUCUCAAAAACAAAAACAAAAACAUAUACCUAAUCGAAUGAUUAAUCAUUGGAGUGUAGAAUGCAAAGCUUUUUCUUUCUUCAUUUUAAUGAGACAAUGAAUAAAAAUAAGGUGGACCAUGUCUCCUUUCCAACGCACACCUUUCAUCUUUUCUCUUUAUCCCAACAUGUUUCUCAUUCCACUCCACUUUUUUCUUUGUAUGUAUAGUUUAUCUCUUUUAAGAAAUCAAGUAUGAGCAUCAACUGAUAAAUUUUUCUAUACUUUCUUCGACUUGGAGGAGCUUCAUAAUGGGAUAAACAAUCAAGAGUCUGUUUUCACAAUGUUUUUAAAAAGGGUAUUUGAGAUAACUUAAAUGUUUUUGAGGCAAAAUUUUAUUAAGAAUUCAAAUAUAAAAACUAAUUUUCUUUGUUUAUGCAUGUACGAUAUAAAAGUUUUUAAAGUGCUAUUCUCUAUUUUUUCAAUUGUCACUCAAUGAAUUCUAAAAAAAAAAAACAAAACUAAAAUACCUUAAAAUAUUUCUAAAAAAUAAUUCAUUUUCAAAACAAAUUCCCAAUAAAAAAAAAAUUGUGUUUUCUAUCAUAAUUUUUUGAAACAUAUUUUCUAAGUUAGAAAAUAAUUUUUUAUUCUAAAAGAUUAAUAUAUAUAUUUUCAAGAACAGAUACCAAAUAUAACCUAAUUUUUCUUCUAAGGUUUUUUUCCUUAUGUCUCCGUCUAGUUGUCAUCCAAUGAACAAUCCACUUCAAAUAUUUUUGUGCCAAAGGGUAAAACCGAAGGAGAGAAUUACUCAAACACAGGAGAAUUAAGAAUCAAAGGACAAAAGGGAUUGGAGCAAGGUGAUAACUUUUCUCAGUGAACUUCACUGAUUUGCUCAAAGGCAAGUUGCCAGCAAAAUCAAGGAUAUAAAAUGUGUAUUUCAUCUUUUUUUGUUGGACCCAUUGGGUUUGCUUUUUUUCCCUCUCAAUUUGGGAUUUAAUAUAAUAUAGAUCAGGAUUGAGCAGGUUUCUGUAAAUAAAUCAAAAUGGGCGGCCUUUUUUUAACUUGAUUCCCUCUUUGCUUUCUAGCACAUGAGAAAAAGUAGAGCUAGCCUCACAUGUGCACACACUGCACAUGGCAUAGCAUUGGGUACCUAUUGAGUCAUCUCCACCAUAUGAUUAAGCACAGUGGCCCAAAUACUAGCAAUGAAGUUAGAAAAUGCAUUCUUCAUUUUCGUCUCCGAGAGAGUAGGAAAACCAUAUUCUUUCUCUGAUUUUUCAGGAAGAGAGAAGAGACUUCUCACAUAGAGAAUAAAAAAUAAAAAAAUUAUUUAUUUUUAAUAGUGAUAGUUUCUAUGUAGUUUUAAAACUCCCUAAAACUAUUUCCCCAUUUUCUCAUUUAUUUGAGUCAGGUCGGGUCAGUCCACUUGGACACCCAAACCCAACUCCAACAUUGUGGAACUUGGAAGUGUAGUUUAUCUCACUGCUGAACAUGAGAACUUUGUUGGACAUGGUGGGACAUCACUUGGGUCUCUUGAACACUGAAGAGCCCAACAUUUAUAUUGUCAUUUAGUUUGCACCAUAUGCAGAGCCCAGUUCAAACAUGAUAUUGAAAAAAGUUCUAUACACAAAUACAGCUGAUGGAUAGGAGAAACAAAACAGAACAUCAGAUGGAUAAAACUUAGUAAACUAAAUAAACGGUAAAGGAUUCAUUGGAUCUCCUCUUAGCUAUCGCCCUUCUCCUAUGGAGGCUACAAGCUCAUUCUUCCAGGAGGCUUCAGCCUUGCUAGAAGAAGAAGCUGUACUAGAAAGGUUCCUCUUUACAACAAAAGCUGGUUCUUUAGGAACGGGCACUGUUGCAGCAUCACUGCUGAGCAGAAGAACUGCAAUGGCCAUGGUGGGACGGUCACUUGGGUCUUCUUGCACACACAACAGCCCAACAUUUACACACCUCGAAAAUUCGUUUGUGUUGCAUGUUUCACUUAGUGUCUGGUCCAUCAACUCCAAAACCUUGUCUUCUUUCCAUAGCUUCCAUGCCUAGAACAGUUCAAAAAGUUGUAGGUCAGAUGAACAGAGAAUGACUAAAAGAUCAGUACAAAUGAAAGAUUCAAAGCUCUUACAUGACCUAGAAGACUCAGAGUUCGGUCAGACUGAUAAAAUCCAGUGUUCCUCUUCCCACUGAUGAUCUCAAGUACCAUAACACCAAAGCAAAAGACAUCAGACUUCUCUGAGAAAUAUCCAUCCAAUGCAUACUCCGGAGACAUAGCCACUGCAUUGAACCAGUUAAAAGCAGCACUCAGCUAAUUGGGAAACGCAAUCAUACAACCGCUUGCCUUUUUCGAUACAAAAUAUACAAUACUUACUAAGUUCCAACUACUCUGUUCGUGUUUGCCUCUACUUGCUUACUGUCAAAAAUCUUUGCCAAGCCAAAGUCUGAAAUUUUGGGAUUCAUCUCAUCAUCAAGUAGAAUGUUGCUUGUUUUUAAGUCCCUAUGAAUAAUCUUCAAUCUUGAAUCUUGGUGAAGAUACAGCAGCCCUCGAGCAAUUCCCAUAAUGAUGUCAAACCGCUUCUCCCAGUUCAGUAACAUGCAUAGGGUUCAAUCUUGCAAGGUUCCCAUUGGAAAGCAUUACUUCAGAUAUGUAUACAAGAAUGUAUAUGUUACAUGAAAAAGAAAAGGGCUUUAAGGCAGGUUUAGAGACAAACCAAAUAUGAAGGAAUCUAAGCUUUUGUUGGCCAUAUAUUCAUAGAGUAAAAUCUUCUCAUCACCUUCAACACAAUAGCCCAAAAGUCUAACCAGAUUCCGAUGCUGAAGUUUGGCAAUUAACACAACCUCAUUCUUAAAUUCCUGUAAGCCUUGUCCUGAAGCUCUAGAGAGUCUCUUAACCGCAAUUUCUCGCCCCUCUAGAA